UGAACGCUAGCGGCAGGCUUAACACAUGCAAGUCGAGGGGUAACAGGAGUGCUUGCACUCGCUGACGACCGGCGCACGGGUGCGUAACGCGUAUAGAACCUACCUUUUACUGAGGGAUAGCCUUUAGAAAUGAAGAUUAAUACCUCAUGGUAUUGCAAUUUGGCAUCAGAUUGUAAUUAAAGAUUUAUUGGUAAAAGAUGGCUAUGCGUCUUAUUAGCUAGAUGGUAAGGUAACGGCUUACCAUGGCAACGAUAAGUAGGGGCCCUGAGAGGGGGAUCCCCCACACUGGUACUGAGACACGGACCAGACUCCUACGGGAGGCAGCAGUGAGGAAUAUUGGGCAAUGGAGGCAACUCUGACCCAGCCAUGCCGCGUGCAGGAAGACUGCCCUAUGGGUUGUAAACUGCUUUUAUACAGGAAGAAACACACCUACGUGUAGGUGCUUGACGGUACUGUAAGAAUAAGCACCGG
This 471-nucleotide ribosomal RNA is filed under the name uncultured Polaribacter sp. RNAcentral describes it as "bacterial SSU rRNA". It matches the Rfam family "Bacterial small subunit ribosomal RNA", at positions 30 to 496 of the family's 1533-position model. Lineage: Bacteria; Pseudomonadati; Bacteroidota; Flavobacteriia; Flavobacteriales; Flavobacteriaceae. The record is from RNAcentral.